AUGCCACUGAUAGUGAAUCUUUUGCAGGUCUCUGGUCUGGUGAAUAGUGCCAUCACACAUGAGGAAUUUCUGAGGGAUGGAGGCACCACCAGGAGAGAAGUACCUUUGCCACAUUUACCCUGGCCAGAUUCUUGUUGUAGGUAUAUUCUGUUGCCAUCUUGUUGUUCCUUACUUUACUGCUCUGUGUGCCAACUUUUAGCCAGUAAUCCUUUGCUCCCAUGCAAUCCUUCUCCACCAAAGCACCAACCUUCACCAGCUGCUCCACAGUGUUCACUGUUCCCCGUGGACAACCGGCAACCCUGGGGUUAUUGUUUUUCAAGAUGCGACUCACAAGUUCCUCCUCAGAGAUCCCUGGCUUCCACUUCAAGCAGAAGGCCCGAUAGUCAUAGGCUAAAUCCCUCAGGCGUUGUUUUGGCUGUUGGACCAUCAUCCUCAACCUCUCCUCCACUUCUGAGAGGUAGUCAUCUGAAAGAAAAGCAGCCAUAAAAGCCUUUUUGAAAGACUUCCAAUCCGUAACCUUUGCUUUCUCCACCUUCCACCAGCUCUGUGCAGGUCCUCUCAGGACUGUGCUUAGAGUUCCAAUGAGCUUGGUGCUGGGAAGGGGCCUGAUCUCCAAGAAGUUCUCACAUUGUUCUAGAAAGUUGAGCAGAUCCGCUGUCUCACAUGAGUCGCCAAACACAAGGAACUCAAGGCAUAUGGGAGGCCUUCCACAGAAUGAGGAUGAGGUAGCCAUUACUGAGGAAGUAUGAACAUUUAAGUGGGUGAGAAUGUACAGGGGAAGGAAUAUCAUAUGUUGUACUGUGUAAACUUUGUGUUGGUAUUUUGUCUCUAGAUACAGGAGCUGUGGUCUGCGAAUCGUGGACUGCAGAAAUGUGGGAGGAAGAUGGUGUAUAGGAUUGCAAUCUGGUGAGAUUAGAAGUGCUAGUGUAUCUCAGAUUUUCAUUUGAAUCUCCCAUUUAGUGUCUCGCCUGAGAAAACUUAUUGAAAUAAUCCUCCAGGUCUGCCAAGCUAGCGUCCACAGCCUCCCUGAAACUUUGUUCCCUAUUUAUUGAACUAUCAAGGAACUGUUUGAAAUCAUGUUCCAAUGGUUUAAACUUUUUGAUUAAAGGCCAAUAAAUCCCCUUUAAAUUGUGACAUGUCUGUUUGCAUUGCUUGAACCUCACCAACAUUCAAUAUACAACUUUCUACAUCAUCAUCCUCAGCAUCAGACUGUUCAUUAUCAGAAAGAUGCAAAGAACUAAUCAUGGAGGUGAUUUCAGUGGUAGGGUUACGUCUUUUUACAAAUGGGCCUGCUAAAAAAAUCCAUCCUUGUUUGUUCGGCAUCUGCCAUUGGUUAAUGCACAGACGUGCUUGGAUUAUCAACAUUUCCAUCCUGCACUUCAGUAUCUGCAUCAAUAUCUUCCAUCGCAAGCUAAAAAUCAAAACAACACCACACCAGAGGGUUCCUGCUCCACAGUAUUCACUGUUCCCCGUACGGCCACCAAUAUGUAACGCUCAGCCUUCAAUAAGGUAGGCUACACAAAUAAAGUUAGACUGUUACCCUCCUAAAAGUGUUUUUAAAUGUUCUCACUCAGAAUAAACUGUACAUACUUAAAGACAGAAUGUAAUCACAAAGUGAAUUCUCCAAUACCAUACCUCUGCACAUAUGUACAAAAUAUAUCUGUGUGUGUGAUAGCGUCAGUUCAAGUCCAGUAAAGUGUGUGUGUGUGUGUGUGUGUGUGCGUGUGUUGAAUCGGCCUCACCGGUGAAGCAUAAGAGUCCAGGAGCACAAUGAGAGCAGCACUGCCCUAUGAUGGAGUUCUCAAAGUGAAAAAUAUAAACCAAUUCAGAUUGGUAAUUUCACACGGUAAGAAACGAAAGUCACAGUCGUAGACAGCAAGAGGGGAACUGAGGUAAAUGCCAUUCAGCACAGGAAAUGCUCCUCCUUUCCCCCAGUUAGCCAGCUUGCUUUAUCGGAAAUACAGAAGAUCAGCUGAUGAAAUCAACAUCACCGGGAUUCCCUAACGGGUCGUGACAAAAUUAUUGUGAUAAAACAUGGGAUCAACAACACUCAAAGGGGCAAGACAGG
Molecule: long non-coding RNA, 2068 nt
Organism: Cyprinus carpio carpio
Lineage: Eukaryota; Metazoa; Chordata; Actinopteri; Cypriniformes; Cyprinidae
Source: Ensembl